Non-coding RNA from Schistosoma curassoni, 48 nucleotides. The record is from Rfam. NCBI's taxonomy places the organism in Eukaryota, Metazoa, Platyhelminthes, Trematoda, Strigeidida, Schistosomatidae.
AUCCAGCUGAUAAAGAGUCUCAAAUAGGGUGAAACGCGCGUCCUGGAU